GUGAGGAAUAUUGGGCAAUGGAGGCAACUCUGACCCAGCCAUGCCGCGUGCAGGAUGACGGCCCUCUGGGUUGUAAACUGCUUUUAUACGGGAAGAAAAAAUACUACGUGUAGUAUACUGACGGUACCGUAAGAAUAAGGAUCGGCUAACUCCGUGCCAGCAGCCGCGGUAAUACGGAGGAUCCAAGCGUUGUCCGGAUUUAUUGGGUUUAAAGGGUGCGUAGGCGGAUCUUUAAGUCAGUGGUGAAAGCCUGCAGCUUAACUGUAGAAUUGCCAUUGAAACUGAAGAUCUUGAAUGUGGUUAAAGUAGGCGGAAUGUAUCAUGUAGCGGUGAAAUGCUUAGAUAUGAUACAGAACACCGAUAGCGAAGGCAGCUUGCUGAACCAUUAUUGACGCUGAGGCACGAAAGCGUGGGGAGCGAACAGGAUUAGAAACCCGUGUAGUCC
This 445-nucleotide ribosomal RNA is filed under the name uncultured bacterium. RNAcentral's name for it is "partial 16S ribosomal RNA". It matches the Rfam family "Bacterial small subunit ribosomal RNA", at positions 354 to 796 of the family's 1533-position model. The record is from RNAcentral.